GGGAAUAUUGCACAAUGGGGGGAACCCUGAUGCAGCGACGCCGCGUGGGUGAGGAAGUACUUCGGUAUGUAAAGCCCUAUUAGCAGGGAAGAAAAUGACGGUACCUGAUUAAGAAGCCCCGGCUAACUACGUGCCAGCCGCCGCGGUAAUACGUAGGGGGCAAGCGUUAACCGGAUUUACUGGGUGUAAAGGGAGCGUAGACGGCAGAACAAGUCUGGAGUGAAAUGCCGGGGCUUAACCCCGGAACUGCUUUGGAAACUGUGCAGCUAGAGUGCAGGAGAGGUAAGUGGAAUUCCUAGUGUAGCGGUGAAAUGCGUAGAUAUUAGGAGGAACACCAGUGGCGAAGGCGGCUUACUGGACUGUAACUUACGUUGAGGCUCGAAAGCGUGGGGAGCAAACA
This 400-nucleotide ribosomal RNA is filed under the name uncultured bacterium. Its description in RNAcentral is "bacterial SSU rRNA". It matches the Rfam family "Bacterial small subunit ribosomal RNA", at positions 357 to 774 of the family's 1533-position model. The record is from RNAcentral.